This 62-nucleotide transfer RNA is filed under the name Trifida elongata. RNAcentral's name for it is "tRNA-Thr". The record is from RNAcentral. Lineage: Eukaryota; Metazoa; Arthropoda; Insecta; Hemiptera; Cicadellidae.
GUUAUAAUAAUUUAAUUAAAAUAUUGAUUUUGUAAAUCAAAUUUAGGGAUACCUUUAUAACA